UACGUAGGUGGCAAGCGUUGUCCGGAUUUACUGGGCGUAAAGAGCGCGCAGGCGGUCGAGUAAGUCGAAUGUGAAAGCCCCCGGCUUAACUGGGGAGGGUCAUUCGAUACUGUUCGACUUGAAGGCAGGAGAGGGCAGCAGAAUUCCCGGUGUAGUGGUGAAAUGCGUAGAUAUCGGGAGGAAUACCAGUGGCGAAGGCGGCUUCCUGGACCGACACUGACGCUGAGGCGCGAAAGCUAGGGGAGCAAACGGG
This 253-nucleotide ribosomal RNA is filed under the name uncultured bacterium. Its description in RNAcentral is "partial 16S ribosomal RNA". It matches the Rfam family "Bacterial small subunit ribosomal RNA", at positions 524 to 776 of the family's 1533-position model. The record is from RNAcentral.